GUAGUCUUCGUCCAGGGGGCCGCCUUCGCCACCGGUAUUCCUCCAGAUCUCUACGCAUUUCACCGCUACACCUGGAAUUCUACCCCCCUCUACGAGACUCAAGCUUGCCAGUAUCAGAUGCAGUUCCCAGGUUGAGCCCGGGGAUUUCACAUCUGACUUAACAAACCGCCUGCGUGCGCUUUACGCCCAGUAAUUCCGAUUAACGCUUGCACCCUCCGUAUUACCGCGGCUGCUGGCACGGAGUUAGCCGGUGCUUCUUCUGCGGGUAACGUCAAUGAGCAAAGGUAUUAACUUUACUCCCUUCCUCCCCGCUGAAAGUACUUUACAACCCGAAGGCCUUCUUCAUACACGCGGCAUGGCUGCAUCAGGCUUGCGCCCAUUGUGCAAUAUUCCCCACUGCUGCCUCCCGUAGGAGUCUGGACCGUGUCUCAGUUCCAGUGUGGCUGGUCAUCCUCUCAGACCAGCUAGGGAUCGUCGCCUNGGUGAGCCGUUACCCCACCAACNAGCUAAUCCCAUCUGGGCACAUCCGAUGGCAAGAGGCCCGAAGGUCCCCCUCUUUGGUCUUGCGACGUUAUGCGGUAUUAGCUACCGUUUCCAGUAGUUAUCCCCCUCCAUCAGGCAGUUUCCCAGACAUUACUCACCCGUCCGCCACUCGUCAGCGAAACAGCAAGCUG
RNAcentral lists this ribosomal RNA (674 nucleotides) under Escherichia coli. RNAcentral's name for it is "partial 16S ribosomal RNA". The record is from RNAcentral. Lineage: Bacteria; Pseudomonadati; Pseudomonadota; Gammaproteobacteria; Enterobacterales; Enterobacteriaceae.